UCCAUGAGCAGUUACUCUCCUUCCUCUGCUUUCUCAGCCCCAGGUAACCACUACUCUAUUUCCUGUCUCUAUGGAUUUGCUGAUUCAAGAUGUUUCAUAGAAAUGCAAUCAUAUCAUGUAUGGCUUUUUGUAACUAGUUUUUAAAACUUAAUACAAUGUUGUCAAAGUUCAUCAGAGCAAUAGUAUAUAUAAGAACCUAAUGCUUUUUAGUGUCCAAAGUAAGAAAAAUUCAAAUGAACCUUUUAUUUUGGAAUAUGUUUUUUGGUUUACAAAAAGUUGCAAAGAUAGCACCCUUACUCUUCAGCUAGUCUCUUCUAACGUUAACAUCUUAUAUAACCACAGCACAUUUGACAUAACUAAGAAGUAAUGCUAACUAAACUAUAGCUGUCUUGGGAUUUGACUUUUUUAAAACAAAAUAUCUUUUUUCUAUUUUAGUCUCUAAUCUAGAAAUCCACAUUGUAUUUAGUAUUCAUGUUUCUCCUGUCAUCUAGAACAGUUUUUUCAGUCUUUUUUUCUUGUUAUUCAUGACCAUGACAUUUUGAAGGGUGUAGGUCAGAUAUUUUCAUUUCCCACAAUUUAGCUUAGUCCCAUGUAUUUUUCCAUCAUGAUUAUACUAGGAUUGUUUGUUUUGUAAGAAUAGAAUGACAAAAAAAAGAAUAGCAUGGAGGAGAGGGGCUGUCCUCUUCACAGCAAAUCGGUGGACAACUGAUAGCCACAGGAUUUAUAACUGGAUUUAAACCAGAGAACACCUUGUGAAGUGCAUUGGACUCAGAUGAGUGCAAUGACAGUCAUCACAGAAUGAAAUAGGUGCCAGAGAGCCUGGACACAUUGGAAAAGCCACCAGUCGUGGUUCCAAAGGCAUGGUGCUGAGAAACUCUUGCCCGCAAUGUUCCCACACAGCUGAAAGGAGGGAAUGGUAUGGAGACUUGCCCCUCCUGACAACCAGCCACAACUUUGUUUAGAUUGAGA
Long non-coding RNA from Heterocephalus glaber (naked mole-rat), 969 nucleotides. RefSeq lists it as uncharacterized. The record is from RefSeq and is a predicted model, not a curated record. NCBI's taxonomy places the organism in Eukaryota, Metazoa, Chordata, Mammalia, Rodentia, Bathyergidae.